AGAGUGAGAUAACAAGGAAAUGUCUUGGAAAAUAACAAAAAGGUCAUUAGGAACAUAUUGUCCAAUCGUAGCCGAGAUAACAUUCUUAGAAUCUCCUUCCACAAUGACAGCAUUGUAUUUCUAGUUCUUAGCAAGAAGCAUAGCUUCACGACAAGCUAGAGAUUCCAAAAUAAAAGGGUUAACAAUUCCAGGAAAGUGUUUGCAAAACCAUCCAAUCGGCG
RNAcentral lists this unclassified non-coding RNA (221 nucleotides) under Hevea brasiliensis (rubber tree). The record is from RNAcentral. Lineage: Eukaryota; Viridiplantae; Streptophyta; Magnoliopsida; Malpighiales; Euphorbiaceae.